GGUCUUAUGGUCUAGUGGUAAGUCAUCAAUUCAUAAUUCACCCAGAAUUUCUCAUCCUGACUCCCAUCUAGGUAUGAUUCUCGCUUAGGGUACACCCUACAGCUCAGGUUGCGAGAGGCCCCGCGUUCGAAUCGCGGUAAGACCC
Amylocarpus encephaloides is the source of this 145-nucleotide non-coding RNA. The record is from the annotation of a GenBank genome assembly. Lineage: Eukaryota; Fungi; Ascomycota; Leotiomycetes; Helotiales.